Molecule: transfer RNA, 91 nt
Filed under: Kocuria palustris
Lineage: Bacteria; Bacillati; Actinomycetota; Actinomycetes; Micrococcales; Micrococcaceae
Description: tRNA-OTHER
Rfam family: tRNA
About the family: Transfer RNA (tRNA) molecules are approximately 80 nucleotides in length. Their secondary structure includes four short double-helical elements and three loops (D, anti-codon, and T loops).
Source: RNAcentral
GUGGGUUUAGCUCAGUUGGGAGAGCGCUAGACUGAAGUCAACUUUGGUCGCUGAAAUCUAGAGGUCUCGUGUUCGAUCCACGAAAUCCACA